Molecule: ribosomal RNA, 510 nt
Filed under: uncultured bacterium
Lineage: Bacteria
Description: bacterial SSU rRNA
Rfam family: Bacterial small subunit ribosomal RNA
Source: RNAcentral
GAUGAACGCUAGCUACAGGCUUAACACAUGCAAGUCGAGGGGAAACGAUAUUGGAAGCUUGCUUCCGAUAGGCGUCGACCGGCGCACGGGUAAGUAACGCGUAUCCAACCUGCCCAUCACUUGGGGAUAACCUUGCGAAAGUAAGACUAAUACCCAAUGAUAUCUCUAGAAGACAUCUGAAAAGAGAUUAAAGAUUUAUCGGUGAUGGAUGGGGAUGCGUCUGAUUAGCUUGUUGGCGGGGUAACGGCCCACCAAGGCGACGAUCAGUAGGGGUUCUGAGAGGAAGGUCCCCCACAUUGGAACUGAGACACGGUCCAAACUCCUACGGGAGGCAGCAGUGAGGAAUAUUGGUCAAUGGGCGAGAGCCUGAACCAGCCAAGUAGCGUGCAGGAUGACGGCCCUAUGGGUUGUAAACUGCUUUUAUAAGGGAAUAAAGUGAGUCUCGUGAGACUUUUUGCAUGUACCUUAUGAAUAAGGACCGGCUAAUUCCGUGCCAGCAGCCGCGGUAAU